RNAcentral lists this ribosomal RNA (497 nucleotides) under uncultured bacterium. Its description in RNAcentral is "partial 16S ribosomal RNA". It matches the Rfam family "Bacterial small subunit ribosomal RNA", at positions 28 to 507 of the family's 1533-position model. The record is from RNAcentral.
GAUGAACGCUGGCGGCGUGCCUAAUACAUGCAAGUCGAGCGAACAGACCAGGAGCUUUCUCCUCUGACGUUAGCGGCGGACGGGUGAGUAACACGUGGAUAACCUACCUAUAAGACUGGGAUAAAUUCGGGAAACCGGAGCUAAUAACGGCUAAUAUAUUGAACCGCAUGGUUCAAUAGUGAAAGACGGUUUUGCUGUCACUUAUAGAUGGAUUCGCGCCGCAUUAGCUAGUUGGUAAGGUAACGGCUUACCAAGGCAACGAUCCGGAGCCGACGUGAGAGGGGGAGCAGCCACACUGGAACUGAGACACGAUCCAGACUCCUACGGGAGGCGACAGUAGGGAAUGUUCCGCAAUGGGCGAAAGCUUGACGGAGCAACGCCGCGUGAGGGAUGAAGGUCUUCGGAUCGUAAAACUCUGUUAUUAGGGAAGAACAAAUGUGUAAGUAACUAUGCACGUCUUGACGGUACCGAAUCAGAAAGCCACGGCUAACUACGUG